GUUAGUUUGAAAAGGACAGCAGGACGCAGAGCCGGGCGGGAUUUAUAUUCACAGGAUGGUUUUAUUUUCACCUGCUGGCUGAAGAUGUCUGAGAGUUAACUGGCUGACGAGGACUCCCCUCCCUGCCUCCAGCUGCAGCCAUGAACGAACCGUCCUGGUUUCUGCAUCCAAACCAGCUGCAUUAAAGCACCUGUCCAGGUAAACCCUGUUCUACUGCUACAGCUAGCGUUAGCUCCCGACCCACAUCCACCAGCGUCAGCAGAAGGAACGAGGCGGUAAUUAAUCUGUGCAGAGACGAGGAUUGUCCACAUGGACAGUGAGCUGAUAUUUAGCACAGCGCCGCUGGGACCUGAAGCUAACGUGGCCUCGGCUCAGGCCUGUCGGAGAUCCACAGCGUGUCAGAGGCCUCAGUGGAUAAGUGGGACAGCAGCAUGUAUGGAGCUCCACU
Amphiprion ocellaris (clown anemonefish) is the source of this 448-nucleotide long non-coding RNA. Lineage: Eukaryota; Metazoa; Chordata; Actinopteri; Pomacentridae. The record is from Ensembl.